GCUUAAACGAACUCAAAGAGUUACUAUUGAGGAACAAGUUGCAAAAUUUUUGUAUAUGCUGGGACACAACGUAACUACUCGUGAGGUUAGUAAGAUAUUUGGACGAUCUGGAGAGAGUGUGAGUCGUUAUUUUCAUAAUGUUUUAAGAGCUAUGAUAGAGUUGAAAGAGAUAUUUUUAGUGCAACCCAGUGGAGCACAAAUUCCUCCAGAGAUACUCAACAAUCCAAAGUUUGAUCCAUAUUUCAAGGAUUGUGUUGGAGCAAUAGAUGGAACACAUAUCUGAGUAAAGGUUUCUCCUACUGACGCUCCUAAAUAUCAUGGUAGGAAAGAUCAUCCAACAUAAAAUGUGUUGGCUGCCUGCACAUUUGACUUGAAAUUCACUUAUGUCUUACCUGGGUGGGAAGGUACUGCAUCUGAUUCUUGAAUUUUAAAAAAUGCUUUACAACGACGAUUUCCACUUAAAAUCCCUCAAGGAAAAUAUUAUCUCGCUAAUGGUGGAUACAUGUUAAGAAGUGGAAUAAUUCCACCCUAUAGAGGGGAACGCUACCAUUUGAAUGAGUAUUCAAGAAAUCCACCAAGGACUCAACGUGAGUUGUUUAACCUAAGACACGCGUCACUUCGUAAUGCAAUUGAAAGAGCAUUUGGUGUAUUAAAAAAAGAUUUCCCAUUAUAGCGAGCUCGAUUGAACCGAAUUAUGGUGUUAAAGUACAAAAUCAAAUCAUCCUAGCUUGUUGUAUUUUGCAUAAUUUUUUAAGGGGUACUGACCCAGAAGAUUAUUUCCCUAAAGGGGAAGAAGGUGAUAAUGAAAACACAUCGGUCGACGAUAAUGUGGACGAGGAUGAAGAUGAACAAAGAGGGGAGUGUU
This is a long non-coding RNA of Asparagus officinalis (garden asparagus), 865 nucleotides long. RefSeq lists it as uncharacterized. The transcript has 3 exons. The record is from RefSeq and is a predicted model, not a curated record. Lineage: Eukaryota; Viridiplantae; Streptophyta; Magnoliopsida; Asparagales; Asparagaceae.